CUUCUUUUUAAAAAACAAAGAUGCACGGAAGCAUCACAAGCAACUGGUGCUGUCCAAAAAACGUGUAUUUACGUUUCAGAGGAAUAUGGACUUGGCAGUGAAUAUUGGUGUGUAUUUAUGGAGAGAUGUGUGUCUGGGAGAGAAAACUUAAAAUAAAAGGAAAAUGGUUUCUUGUUUUUUUGUUUUCAGUAGCAAGUGUGCUGCAUCUUGUCUGAGAAAGAUAAUAACUGGCGUAAGCAGUUUCCCGUUGAUUGAAACGGUUUCCGCACAUUUCCCCCACAGUGCUGUGGUAUAUGCUCUCACCCUUCUUGUUCCCGUCUGUCAGUGUGGGUCCCUUCCUGUCCAGGAGACACAGGCGAGGGGGCACCGUAGCAAAGUUAGGUCUCGGGAUCCAAGCACUGAGGAUAGUUCGAGCCACGGGAAUCCCAGAAGGGUGAAGCACAUCUGGUGCAGAUGAAAUCCCUUAUUUAUGAAGUCUGUCCGUUUCCUUCUGGGAGCUAAUUUGGAAAAUAAUUCUGUCCUCUGACUAGCAGAUCAUAUUUACUUUCCACACUAAAGAUGACCUCACGCAGACCUACCCACUCUGUUUCCAGAAGAACUUCACAUGGGACCCCAACGCAUUGACCUGUACCCACGUGGACUUGAAUGUGAGCUUUGCUGCUGGCAUGUUUGGGGGUCUUCUUGCAUCAUGCCUCCCUUUUCCGUCUGUCCUAACCAUUCCCACACAUACCCACUGCCUGAAUGGUAAUAUCUUCUCCUUGGAACUA
Molecule: long non-coding RNA, 767 nt
Organism: Suricata suricatta (meerkat)
Lineage: Eukaryota; Metazoa; Chordata; Mammalia; Carnivora; Herpestidae
Exons: 2
Source: RefSeq, a predicted model, not a curated record